RNAcentral lists this unclassified non-coding RNA (371 nucleotides) under uncultured fungus. Its description in RNAcentral is "partial contains 5.8S ribosomal RNA, internal transcribed spacer 2, and large subunit ribosomal RNA". Lineage: Eukaryota; Fungi. The record is from RNAcentral.
AACGCGCCUUGCGCUCCUUGGUAUUCCGAGGAGCAUGCCUGUUUGAGUGUCGUUUAAGUUCCUAUCAAGCCCCUUUGGUUUAUUCGAAGUGGGAUUGGAUUGUGGAGGCUUAUGCUGGAUGGUGCAAUUGCUUGUGCCUCAGCUCCUCUGAAUUAUAUUGGCGAAAUUUGUGGACGGGCUGCGCAUAUAAUAUAUGGAAGGGCUCAGUCGGUGUGAUAAUGAUCAUCGUCGUAGCUUUCUUAAAUGUGAUGUGCUCCUGUUGGAACCGCCUUACAAAAAAAAAAAGUAACGAGGAGUAGUGUGCCGGUGUCACCUACAACUUGUUUUGCAGCUUUGACCUCAAAUCAGGCAGGACUACCCGCUGAACUUAA